Molecule: ribosomal RNA, 436 nt
Rfam family: Bacterial small subunit ribosomal RNA
ACGGAAGGCAGCAGUGGGGAAUAUUGGGCAAUGGGCGAAAGCCUGACCCAGCAACGCCGCGUGAAGGAAGAAGGUCUUCGGAUUGUAAACUUCUUUUAUGUGGGACGAACAAAUGACGGUACCACAUGAAUAAGCCACGGCUAACUACGUGCCAGCAGCCGCGGUAAUACGUAGGUGGCAAGCGUUAUCCGGAUUUACCGGGUGUAAAGGGCGUGUAGCCGGGUCGGCAAGUCAGAUGUGAAAUCCACGGGCUUAACUCGUGAACUGCAUUUGAAACUGUUGAUCUUGAGUAUCGGAGAGGCAAUCGGAAUUCCUAGUGUAGCGGUGAAAUGCGUAGAUAUUAGGAGGAACACCAGUGGCGAAGGCGGAUUGCUGGACGACAACUGACGGUGAGGCGCGAAAGCGUGGGGAGCAAACAGGAUUAGAUACCCUGGUA